GACGAACGCUGGCGGCGUGCUUAACACAUGCAAGUCGAACGCUGAAGCACCAGCUUGCUGGUGUGGAUGAGUGGCGAACGGGUGAGUAAUACGUGAGUAACCUGCCCUUGACUCUGGGAUAAGCCCGGGAAACUGGGUCUAAUACUGGAUGCUACAUGUCACCGCAUGGUGGUGUGUGGAAAGGGUUUUCUGGUCUUGGAUGGGCUCACGGCCUAUCAGCUUGUUGGUGAGGUAAUGGCUCACCAAGGCGACGACGGGUAGCCGGCCUGAGAGGGUGACCGGCGACACUGGGUCUGAGACACGGCCCAGACUCCUACGGGAGGCAGCAGUGGGGAAUAUUGCACAAUGGGCGAAAGCCUGAUGCAGCGACGCCGCGUGAGGGAUGACGGCCUUCGGGUUGUAAACCUCUUUCAGCAGGGAAGAAGCCACAAGUGACGGUACCUGCAGAAGAAGCGCGGGCUAACUACGUG
RNAcentral lists this ribosomal RNA (470 nucleotides) under uncultured bacterium. Its description in RNAcentral is "partial 16S ribosomal RNA". It matches the Rfam family "Bacterial small subunit ribosomal RNA", at positions 28 to 507 of the family's 1533-position model. The record is from RNAcentral.